CCUUUUGUAUAAUGGGUCAGCUACUUAUAUUCUGUAGCAAGGUUAACCGUAUAGGGGAGCCGCAGGGAAACCGAGUCUUAACUGGGCGUUAAGUUGCAGGGUAUAGACCCGAAACCCGGUGAUCUAGCCAUGGGCAGGUUGAAGGUUGGGUAACACUAACUGGAGGACCGAACCGACUAAUGUUGAAAAAUUAGCGGAUGACUUGUGGCUGGGGGUGAAAGGCCAAUCAAACCGGGAGAUAGCUGGUUCUCCCCGAAAGCUAUUUAGGUAGCGCCUCGUGAAUUCAUCUUCGGGGGUAGAGCACUGUUUCGGCUAGGGGGUCAUCCCGACUUACCAACCCGAUGCAAACUACGAAUACCGAAGAAUGUUAUCACGGGAGACACACGGCGGGUGCUAACGUCCGUCGUGAAGAGGGAAACAACCCAGACCGCCAGCUAAGGUCCCAAAGUCAUGGUUAAGUGGGAAACGAUGUGGGAAGGCACAGACAGCCAGGAUGUUGGCUUAGAAGCAGCCAUCAUUUAAAGAAAGCGUAAUAGCUCACUGGUCGAGUCGGCCUGCGCGGAAGAUGUAACGGGGCUAAACCAUGCACCGAAGCUGCGGCAGCGACACUAUGUGUUGUUGGGUAGGGGAGCGUUCUGUAAGCCUGCGAAGGUGUGCUGUGAGGCAUGCUGGAGGUAUCAGAAGUGCGAAUGCUGACAUAAGUAACGAUAAAGCGGGUGAAAAGCCCGCUCGCCGGAAGACCAAGGGUUCCUGUCCAACGUUAAUCGGGGCAGGGUGAGUCGACCCCUAAGGCGAGGCCGAAAGGCGUAGUCGAUGGGAAACAGGUUAAUAUUCCUGUACUUGGUGUUACUGCGAAGGGGGGACGGAGAAGGCUAUGUUAGCCGGGCGACGGUUGUCCCGGUUUAAGCAUGUAGGCUGAUUGUCCAGGCAAAUCCGGAUAAUCAAGGCUGAGGUGUGAUGACGAGGCACUACGGUGCUGAAGUAACAAAUGCCCUGCUUCCAGGAAAAGCCUCUAAGCAUCAGGUAACAUCAAAUCGUACCCCAAACCGACACAGGUGGUCAGGUAGAGAAUACCAAGGCGCUUGAGAGAACUCGGGUGAAGGAACUAGGCAAAAUGGUGCCGUAACUUCGGGAGAAGGCACGCUGGUGUGUAGGUGAAGCCCCUGCGGGUGGAGCUGAGACCAGUCGAAGAUACCAGCUGGCUGCAACUGUUUAUUAAAAACACAGCACUGUGCAAACACGAAAGUGGACGUAUACGGUGUGACGCCUGCCCGGUGCCGGAAGGUUAAUUGAUGGGGUUAUCCGUAAGGAGAAGCUCUUGAUCGAAGCCCCGGUAAACGGCGGCCGUAACUAUAACGGUCCUAAGGUAGCGAAAUUCCUUGUCGGGUAAGUUCCGACCUGCACGAAUGGCGUAAUGAUGGCCAGGCUGUCUCAACCCGAGACUCAGUGAAAUUGAACUCGCUGUGAAGAUGCAGUGUACCCG
This 1483-nucleotide ribosomal RNA is filed under the name Klebsiella pneumoniae. Its description in RNAcentral is "bacterial LSU rRNA". It matches the Rfam family "Bacterial large subunit ribosomal RNA", at positions 604 to 2072 of the family's 2925-position model. The record is from RNAcentral. Lineage: Bacteria; Pseudomonadati; Pseudomonadota; Gammaproteobacteria; Enterobacterales; Enterobacteriaceae.